RNAcentral lists this transfer RNA (86 nucleotides) under Hyphomicrobiales bacterium. RNAcentral's name for it is "Rhizobiales bacterium tRNA-Leu". It matches the Rfam family "tRNA". Rfam says of the family: Transfer RNA (tRNA) molecules are approximately 80 nucleotides in length. Their secondary structure includes four short double-helical elements and three loops (D, anti-codon, and T loops). Further hydrogen bonds mediate the characteristic L-shaped molecular structure. tRNAs have two regions of fundamental functional importance: the anti-codon, which is responsible for specific mRNA codon recognition, and the 3' end, to which the tRNAs corresponding amino acid is attached (by aminoacyl-tRNA synthetases). tRNAs cope with the degeneracy of the genetic code in two manners: having more than one tRNA (with a specific anti-codon) for a particular amino acid; and 'wobble' base-pairing, i.e. permitting non-standard base-pairing at the 3rd anti-codon position. Lineage: Bacteria; Pseudomonadati; Pseudomonadota; Alphaproteobacteria; Hyphomicrobiales. The record is from RNAcentral.
GCGGACGUGGUGGAAUUGGUAGACACAAGGGACUUAAAAUCCCUCGGGCCUAGCCCAUGCGGGUUCGAGUCCCGCCGUCCGCACCA